UACUAAGCUUCCGGGUAGGCUGACUAGCUAACUUUGGCAUUGAAAGUUCGCUAGGCCGGACAGAUCGUCGUGUUUGAGUUACGGUCUCGUCACACUAGUAACUGGAUCUACAACCAUUAACCAUUAUGUUUCCAAUGGAAAAGCUAUGAACUGUUGCUAGGGAUGGCAAUGGGACGGGCAGGUUCUGUUUUAAUCCACGAAAUUUCAACCCGCCCCGCAUAGCCUGUUCACCCGCAUCCACCCGCCCCGCAACAUUACAUCCGCUCCUUGCUAAUUAGUAUGGCCUGCAGGAAGUCAAGCAUGCCUAGAAAAGAGGUUCUCUUAGAACUCUCCCUUUUCUUAUAAUGUUCUUAAUACUCUACCUCUUACCAGGGGCAGUCUUAUAAUGUUCUUAAUACUCUACCUCUUAUCAGUGGUAUUCAGUGGUUUAACGAAAUUAUCAUUAUCUUCAACAUAUGUGACUAGUUUGUGAUUUUCUAUGGUUUUUAGCUAGUAACGGUGAAUCUUUAUCUUUUGCCUAGUUUGAUCAUUGAUUGGGUAAUCAAGAUUUUUAGGUGGUCGAGCUAAAAAAAUAAAGAAAAAGAAAAAAGACGGAGAGGCAAAGCAGUUACAGAGGGAGGGGUGAUUUUUUUUAACCGCUGUAUCUACAACCUUUAAUUUCCAAUGGAAAAGCUAUGAAUUGUUAGCUCUCCAAGUCUCCAUUACCCACACAACUCACAGUCUCCACCUGCACAAAAUAUUGCCGACUUUAAACCUUUUUUGCAUCCUUUGAAUCAAAGUAGCUCUUUGUUCCCUUCCUUUUUUAGUUUCAUUUCUAUCUAACAAGAAUAUUUUAUUCCUUAUGUUAUUAGUUUUUAACCAGGUUCAGUAUCUCUGAAUCUCUGGUUGGUCACUUCCAUGCCCUUCUUGAGCCAUUAACUGAUUAGACAUACUAAAGAAAAGCUAACCACAGAAUUAUGUCUUCUAAUUUAACUGACAAGUUCCUGAGUAUGAUCUUUGUUAUCUUGAGAAAUCUGUACUGUGUUAUCUCUUGGAUUUCACCUGAAGCUAGAAACAAUAUGUAUAUUCUUAUUGCAGUGUUAUUGCUUCAACUGGUCAUGGAAUAAGUAAUUUUCAUGUAAUUGUUUGCGUUAUAGAUUCACUGCAACUAUGUUAUGGAGUUACAUCAAGUUCUGAUUUCCCUUCAAUUUCAGUUGCAUAUGAUACUGGCUAUUUGAUGAAUAAUGAUGCAACUAUUAAGUCUUCAUAAGUUCUCCAAUGUCGUUUUGCUUUUCUUUCCGUUGGGCAGUUGCUGGUCGCAGGUGGUGGUAUGUAUGUCGAGGUCUUCAAUCGAGGGGUUAUUCCACUUGCAUACAGCAUUAGGAAAAAAAAUAAAGCUGGAGAGACAAAUACAUACUUGGACGGUAUCUACCUCUUGUUCACUUAUUUUACUAAACCUGAAUCCAUUGCAGCCCUUGAGGUAACAAUGGUGGCUGAUGAUGAUGUUAUCCGAACGUCCACUUUCAAGAUUAGGAAAAGGAAAUACUAGUUUAAUUAGUUAGUUUAAUUUGCAUUUGUUCAGCUGUAAAAGACUAUAACAGGGGGGAGGCAGGUUUUCCUCAUCUCACCUCUCCUACGUUUUCAAACCUGAAUCCAUUGCAGCCCUUGAGGCAACAAUGGUGGCUGAUGAUGAUGUUAUCCGAACGUCCACUUUCAAGAUUAGGAAAAGGAAAUACUAGUUUAAUUAGUUAGUUUAAUUUGCAUUUGUUCAGCUGUAAAAGACUAUAACAGGGGGGAGGCAGGUUUUCCUCAUCUCACCUCUCCUACGUUUUAGUCUUUUUCAAAGCAAAACAGUACCUUUUUGUAAUAUUUUUUUAUAUUACUGGAGUUGCCAUUACAUUCUGCUUUAGUAUCCUCCAAUUUGGCUGAAAUAUAAUAGUAGAGCAUUAUUGAGCACUUGAUAGUCCUGUAUAAAGAUGAUCAUUGAUUUUUACUUUUCUAGUCUCUUUAGUUGUCAGGUCAGAUUACCAUUUCUCUUUAUUAUUGAAUUUAAAUCCAUUUGUGUCUUAACCAUGGUGUCGAGGUCAACUUGUAUGCUCCUCGACUUAGGGCAUCUGCUACCUCUCACCAACAUAGGUACUAGAUAAUUUUGUCCACCACAUUUUAAACACGAGAAGGCGGAUUAACGUAGUCUACUCUCCUCUUUUUCUUCCCCUGUCAACUGGUCUCCCGGAAACAACUUCUCUGUUCUUUCGGGGUAGCGGGGUAAGGUUUGCCUACACUGUUUUGGCUAACAAUUGCUAUCAUUCGGUUUAGGAGUUUGUUAUUAGCUUCCUAUUUUCUAGGUUUAGGAUUUUGUUAGUUUCGUGUAUUCUAGUGUAUCCUACUGCACAUAAUCUUAUCAUAUCAGUUUGUUCCACCUUUAAUGUAUUUCUGUUUGUAUCCGCUCUAUAUAAAGGGCCCGUUGUUCAUGAAUAAAAUUAUUUUUUCUCUGGUGCA
RNAcentral lists this long non-coding RNA (2478 nucleotides) under Nicotiana benthamiana. RNAcentral's name for it is "long non-coding RNA (NBEN_LNC036471)". The record is from RNAcentral. Lineage: Eukaryota; Viridiplantae; Streptophyta; Magnoliopsida; Solanales; Solanaceae.